CUGCAUUACCUCGCAGAUUUACAGCAAAGUGUGAGAUUUGACCGGGAAACCUGGCGUCAGAGAAGACAAAACCUUUUUUUGCGGGAAUUGGUUUUGGCAUGUUGCGGCUCUUUUAACUGUGGAUUUUGGUGACCUUUUGUUACAGAAGGCACCACUGUUUCACCAGGCGGACAGCGGACGGCCUUUGGCCGGCAAGCGAAGCAGUAUGUUGUAUUGUGUUCGAACGGCUAGAUCUGGUUGAUUUUGAGGCGAGCGGUUGCGGAGCGUGAGUCUCUGCGGGCUCGUUAGGUUAGGCAGCCCACACAAGCAGCCUUUUCCAGGGAAGAAGAACAUUCUGAUCAGGAACGCCUGAGAGACAUGGAUGCGAUUCCAGCACCGGUACCUGCUCCAAGUUGCGUGCGUUGAGAAUAAUCCGCCCCACCGAGCUCCGCCCGCCGAUCGCCACGUCGUAACCGACGAAUGGGGGGAUGUAUGUAUGUAUGUAUGUAUAUAUGUAGGAAAGGGAGGGAGGGCUCUAUGGCAUACAUUCGACCGGUCACCGAUUGGAAUGGAAUACAAAGUUUAACGCACUGAACUACACAACAAGCCUUACCAGGUAUAAGAAGUUUCUUGUCCUUUCGAUAUCUGGUUCAGUGAAGCGAGACCAGACCUGCCUGCUGAGAUGCUGUAUACUACUGUGCUGGGCGGUGCACGCACACACCAGCGAACACUGUUACGGCUCUAGAUCGCCGUGUCAACUCCAGCCAGCCAGUACUCCAUCGUAUUUAAGAGGCACUGAAGGGAAUCGGCGCGAGUACGCAAUGAUUUUGAAACAUCAGAAAACUUAAGGGUCAUCUCACCGUCAGGACUGCUGCACGGUUAGUAGAAUUGCACCGUUGAUACGAGCGCGGCGGCUAUUGACCAUCGGCGGAUUGGCCGAUUGUGAUGGCCGCACCGUUUCGCAAAAACACAGACACGCAACGGAGACUAAGUCGAUUAGUAAAACCCAUGUAUAUUGAUGCAGAUCUUUGUAGGUGGACACACAGCACAACGGCUGCUUUGCGACACUUAGACUUUGCACAACAGAAUGCGGGAGGAGAAACUGGUUCUGCCUUUAGAUGUUGGAAAGCUCCUGAACUGGAAAGAAAAUGGCAGCAGCUCGCGCAUUACAAAAAGAUUGCACAGUGGCA
This 1169-nucleotide long non-coding RNA is filed under the name Volvox carteri. RNAcentral's name for it is "long non-coding RNA (VCAR_LNC002329)". The record is from RNAcentral. Lineage: Eukaryota; Viridiplantae; Chlorophyta; Chlorophyceae; Chlamydomonadales; Volvocaceae.